RNAcentral lists this long non-coding RNA (791 nucleotides) under Nicotiana tabacum (common tobacco). Its description in RNAcentral is "long non-coding RNA (NTAB_LNC016545)". The record is from RNAcentral. Lineage: Eukaryota; Viridiplantae; Streptophyta; Magnoliopsida; Solanales; Solanaceae.
UGGUAAAACUUACUUAGGAAGUGCGUCUCCUAUGGGUACAACUAUACUUAGGAAGUGCGUUUCCUGUUGGUGGAAUAAACUUAGGAAGUGCGUCUCCUAUUGGUGAAAUAAACUUACGAAGUGCGUCUCCUAUUGGUGUAAACUGAACUUAGGAAGUGCGUCUCCUAUUGGGUACAAUAAACUUAGGAAGUGCGUCUCCUAUUGGGUGAAAUAACUUAGGAUAUGCGUCUCCUAUUGGGUGAAAUAACUUAGGAAGUGCGUCUCCUAUUGGUAAAACUUGGCUUAGGAAGUGCGUCUCCUGUUGGUGAAACUAACUUAGGAAGUGCGUCUCCUAUGGUGAAACUUAUCUUAGGAAGUGCGUCUCCUAUUGGCGAAAUUAUUUUUUUAGGAAGUGCGUCUCCUAUUGGUGAAACUGAUCUUAGGAUGUGCGUCUCCCGUUGGUACAACUGAGCUUAGGAAGUGCGUCUCCUAUGGUAAAACUGACUUAGGAAGUGCGUCUCCUAUUGGUGAAUCUUAUCUGAGGAAGUGCGUCUCCUAUUGGUAAAACUUAUCUUAGGAAGUGCGUCUCCUAUUGGUGAAACUUAUCUUAGGAAGUGCGUCUCCUAUUGGUGAAACUAUUCUUAGGAAGUGCGUCUCCUAUAGGUGAAACUAUUCUUAGGAAGUGCGUCUCCUUAGGAUGUGCGUCUCCUAUUGGUGAAACUUAGCUUAGGAAGUGCGUCUCCUAUUGGUAAAACUAAACUUAGGAAGUGCGUCUCCUAUUGGUAAAACUAAACUUAGGAAGUGCGUCUCCU